Molecule: ribosomal RNA, 508 nt
Filed under: uncultured bacterium
Lineage: Bacteria
Description: partial 16S ribosomal RNA
Rfam family: Bacterial small subunit ribosomal RNA
Source: RNAcentral
GAUGAACGCUAGCUACAGGCUUAACACAUGCAAGUCGAGGGGAAACGAUAUUGGAAGCUUGCUUCCGAUAGGCGUCGACCGGCGCACGGGUGAGUAACGCGUAUCCAACCUGCCCACCACUUGGGGAUAACCUUGCGAAAGUAAGACUAAUACCCAAUGAUAUCUCUAGAAGACAUCUGAAAGAGAUUAAAGAUUUAUCGGUGAUGGAUGGGGAUGCGUCUGAUUAGCUUGUUGGCAGGGUAACGGCCCACCAAGGCGACGAUCAGUAGGGGUUCUGAGAGGAAGGUCCCCCACAUUGGAACUGAGACACGGUCCAAACUCCUACGGGAGGCAGCAGUGAGGAAUACUGGUCAAUGGACGAGAGUCUGAGCCAGCCAAGUAGCGUGCAGGAUGACGGCCCUAUGGGUUGUAAACUGCUUUUAUAAGGGAAUAAAGUGAGCCUCGUGAGGCUUUUUGCAUGUACCUUAUGAAUAAGGACCGGCUAAUUCCGUGCCAGCAGCCGCGGUAA